Long non-coding RNA from Gavialis gangeticus (Gharial), 950 nucleotides. RefSeq lists it as uncharacterized. The record is from RefSeq and is a predicted model, not a curated record. The transcript has 3 exons. Lineage: Eukaryota; Metazoa; Chordata; Crocodylia; Gavialidae.
GGGAUUGGCUGGCUAAGGGGUGACAUCACUAGGAGCAGGGCGCACCCUAGCUUGGCUUGGUGAAGUUUGUGUGAGGCACAAAUUAUUUGGGGAUUUUUUUUCCCAUUGUUUUUUGGGGGGGUGGGAGCCUCCCAGGGCUUUUUUUGGGGGUGGGCUCCAUUCCUUCAGGUUCAGAAAUUGGUGGCAAGGUGCAAGAGGGGAGGAGUAGGGUAGGAUCAGUGGUGCCCUUUGAGGGCCCCACUAGCCAUGCUGGGGGAGCUGCUCCGCCAUGCCCCACUCUGUGGUAAAAGUCAAAUAUUUAAUGUUUCCAUUUGCCCUCACAUGCAUCAUAUUUUUUCCCAUAGGCAAGCCAAAAAUCUCAGAGGCGUGGAUCGAACCUACCUCCAACAGCCGCUGUUAGUGUUGGAAGGGUCACCAGUUGGGCUCGAACUUGCUGCCUUCUUCAGUUGUUGGCCAUGGGGUUGGCAGCAUAGGUUGGUCUUGAAAUUAACUUGCCACCAAUAAGGAUCAUCCGCUUUGUCUUGGUUGGUGACGUGGUUAGGUCUCCAGAUAAACCUGCUGCUUAGCGAUUUAGGCAUAACGAACAACCUGGCUAUGUCUUGAAUCCACUGCCUGCAAUGGUCAUGAGGCAGUGACAGCUAUGAGCCCAAGAGCUAAAUGGGCCAUGGAAACUGAAUUCCUCCACUGCCUCCAUAGGGGUCCCCAACAGGCCCCCUGUGACUGAGGCAUAUUCAUGUGAUGGGAUCAUCAGGAGUCACCAGGCCCUGUUUGCCUUCAUCCAGUGUACGUGAUGAAGAUGCUAAAUCAUGAUGCGAUUAAUAAGCAGGGCAAAAAAGAAAGAGAGGAUUCAGCAGGAAUCUCAAUAUUGGUGAGCUAUUUAUAAUUUUUGAUGUAUGGAUAUGGAAUGAAAGGGGAAUCCAUGCCAUUUUGUGCUAUGGGAGCAAAUACUG